RNAcentral lists this ribosomal RNA (558 nucleotides) under Saron neglectus. Its description in RNAcentral is "partial large subunit ribosomal RNA". Lineage: Eukaryota; Metazoa; Arthropoda; Malacostraca; Decapoda; Hippolytidae. The record is from RNAcentral.
AAACAUGUCUCUAUGGAUAGUAUUUAGAGUCUAGCCGCCCAYKRRGRRRARKYYUUUGAAGGGCUGCGGAAUUUUAACCGUGCGAAGGUAGCAUAGUCAUUAGUCUUUUAAUUGGAGGCUGGAAUGAACGGUUGGACAAGAAGUUGACUGUUUCUGUGGUAGUUAUUGAACUUUACUUUUAAGUGAAAAGGCUUAAAUAUGUUUAGGGGACGAUAAGACCCUAUAAAAUUUAGACAAAUUAGUUUAGCAAACAAAUUGAGGUUUAAAGGUAGUUAAAUGUUUGUUGUUUUGUUGGGGUGAUAGAGAUAUAACUUGAUAAAGUAGCUGUCUUUAAAAAUGAAAUAWAUUUAUUUAGAGAUUGUGAUCUUUUAUUAUAGAUUAAAAGAUUAAAUUACUUUAGRGAUAACAGCGUAAUUGUUCUUGAGAGUCCUUAUCGACAGUAGUUAGUUGCGACCUCGAUGUUGAAUUAAAGUUUCCUUCAGGUGUAKAAGCUUGUUUGGUAGGUCUGUUCGACCUUUAAAACUUUACAUGAUUUGAGUUCAAACCGGUGAGAGCCAG